RNAcentral lists this ribosomal RNA (253 nucleotides) under uncultured bacterium. RNAcentral describes it as "partial 16S ribosomal RNA". It matches the Rfam family "Bacterial small subunit ribosomal RNA", at positions 524 to 776 of the family's 1533-position model. The record is from RNAcentral.
UACAGAGGUCUCAAGCGUUGUUCGGAUUCAUUGGGCGUAAAGGGUGCGUAGGCGGCGCGGUAAGUCGGGUGUGAAAUCUCGGAGCUUAACUCCGAAACUGCAUUCGAUACUGCCGUGCUUGAGGACUGGAGAGGAGACUGGAAUUUACGGUGUAGCGGUGAAAUGCGUAGAUAUCGUAAGGAAGACCAGUGGCGAAGGCGGGUCUCUGGACGGUAACUGACGCUGAGGCACGAAGGCCAGGGGAGCAAACGGG